GAAAUGCGAUAAGUAAUGUGAAUUGCAGAAUUCAGUGAAUCAUCGAAUCUUUGAACGCACAUUGCGCCCUCUGGUAUUCCGGGGGGCAUGCCUGUUCGAGCGUCAUUUCACCACUCAAGCAUUGCUUGGUAUUAGGCACUCGUCCGUCCCUCUUGGCAGGCGGGCCUCAAAACCUUCGGCGAAUUCACAUCGGCUUUGGGCGCAGUAGAAUCAUCUUUAACGCUCUGUGUGUCCGGUCGAGUCUUUCGCCGCGAAAGAUUCUCACGAAUCAUCUUUUUUAAAGGUUGACCUCGGAUCAGGUAGGGAUACCCGCUGAACUUAA
This 322-nucleotide unclassified non-coding RNA is filed under the name uncultured Eurotiomycetes. RNAcentral's name for it is "sequence contains ITS1". The stretch from base 1 to 105 matches the Rfam family "5.8S ribosomal RNA", at positions 50 to 154 of the family's 154-position model. Lineage: Eukaryota; Fungi; Ascomycota; Eurotiomycetes. The record is from RNAcentral.